Molecule: long non-coding RNA, 929 nt
Organism: Carcharodon carcharias (great white shark)
Lineage: Eukaryota; Metazoa; Chordata; Chondrichthyes; Lamniformes; Lamnidae
Exons: 2
Source: RefSeq, a predicted model, not a curated record
CAGGUUCCCCAGCUCCAGCUCCUCGUCGCACUGGCCGAGCUCGGCGCCCCCGCCGUACUUGCGUUCGGGGUCCGGCGACUCUUGGAAGGCCGAGUCCUCGGUGCUGUUGCCGCCGUCCUCCUCGUCGCUGGUCGCGAAGCCUGAAAGCAAGGACAAGAUGAAAGAAGGGGACAAUCUUUGCCAAAGGAAUCACCAUGGCUUUAUACCUACAUGGAGCAGCUAGUUUGUUUCAAAUGACUAAACGUGCCACCAACAUUUAGAGACUACCAGGAACUAAUAAAAAAUUAGAGUAUAAACUCUAAGGAAAAAAGUCCUAUAGCAUUUAUAUUAUACACAUACAACUGCAAAACACAGAGGAAAGUUGUAGCAACCACCAUUCUCUGGAAUUAUAAACAAUGUUGUUUUAACAACAGCAAUAUUAAAUGCUACAGUUUUAGAAGUCACAAAAUCAGUUGCAUUGAUAUUCCGUACUAUUUGCAGAUGAGACAGGGAGGGCAAAAGAUACUUUUGCAUUGAUGCUCAAACAAAUGUUCAGGCCUCGGAGCUCAAUCUCUUCUUUUAAUUUAGCAGCUUACUGCUGUUAACUGUGUGAUCCACAGGACAGAUAAUAGAAAGAAGCUAAUUCUCUGCUGUCACAAAUGCUGCUCCCAGAACCAUGUAAAAGCUGGGCAUCCAAGUGAUCAGAGGCUGAGUGCAUCUCCUUUCUGUUGUUGGGUGCAAUCAGCUUUCAUUAAUGGUGUAUUGUCAGUGUAAAAGGUUAGUUCCAAUUUUACCCUUGAUUACAUUUUUAUUGUAUUUCAGUAGUGAAAACAAUAGCUGUAAGCAUGAAUUUAUAAACUUUAUUCUAGGUACAGGCUAAAGUGACACGUUCCAUCCCAUUCCAUGUUGAUUGUUUGCAAUAAAAGAUUGAAGCAUAAUUUUGAACAGUA